This 500-nucleotide ribosomal RNA is filed under the name uncultured bacterium. RNAcentral describes it as "partial 16S ribosomal RNA". It matches the Rfam family "Bacterial small subunit ribosomal RNA", at positions 30 to 523 of the family's 1533-position model. The record is from RNAcentral.
AUUGAACGCUGGCGGCAGGCCUAACACAUGCAAGUCGAGCGGAUGACGGGAGCUUGCUCCUUGAUUCAGCGGCGGACGGGUGAGUAAUGCCUAGGAAUCUGCCUGGUAGUGGGGGACAACGUUUCGAAAGGAACGCUAAUACCGCGUACGUCCUACGAGAGAAAGCAGGGGACCUUCGGGCCUUGCGCUAUCAGAUGAGCCUAGGUCGGAUUAGCCAGUUGGUGGGGUAAUGGCUCACCAAGGCGACGAUCCGUAACUGGUCUGAGAGGACGAUCAGUCACACUGGAACUGAGACACGGUCCAGACUCCUACGGGAGGCAGCAGUGGGGAAUAUUGGACAAUGGGCGAAAGCCUGAUCCAGCCAUGCCGCGUGUGUGAAGAAGGGCUUCGGAUUGUAAAGCACUUUAAGUUGGGAGGAAGGGCAGUAAGUUAAUACCUUGCUGUUUUGACGUUACCGACAGAAUAAGCACCGGCUAACUCUGUGCCAGCCGCCGCCGUAA